CCUACGGGCUGCACCAGUAGGGAAUCUUCGGCAAUGGACGAAAGUCUGACCGAGCAACGCCGCGAGAGUGAAGAAGGUUUUCGGAUCGUAAAACUCUGUUGUUAGAGAAGAACAAGUAGGAGAGUAACUGCUCUUACCUUGACGGUAUCUAACCAGAAAGCCACGGCUAACUACGUGCCAGCAGCCGCGGUAAUACGUAGGUGGCAAGCGUUGUCCGGAUUUAUUGGGCGUAAAGCGAGCGCAGGCGGUCUUUUAAGUCUGAUGUGAAAGCCCUCGGCUCAACCGAGGAAGGUCAUUGGAAACUGGAGGACUUGAGUGCAGAAGAGGAGAGUGGAAUUCCAUAUGUAGCGGUGAAAUGCGUAGAUAUAUGGAGGAACACCAGUGGCGAAGGCGACUCUCUGGUCUGUAACUGACGCUGAUGUGCGAAAGCGUGGGGAUCAAACAGGAUUAGAUACCCGUGUAGUC
This 465-nucleotide ribosomal RNA is filed under the name uncultured bacterium. RNAcentral's name for it is "bacterial SSU rRNA". It matches the Rfam family "Bacterial small subunit ribosomal RNA", at positions 338 to 795 of the family's 1533-position model. The record is from RNAcentral.